This 446-nucleotide ribosomal RNA is filed under the name uncultured bacterium. RNAcentral's name for it is "partial 16S ribosomal RNA". It matches the Rfam family "Bacterial small subunit ribosomal RNA", at positions 338 to 795 of the family's 1533-position model. The record is from RNAcentral.
CCUACGGGGCGCAGCAGUCGAGAAUCAUUCACAAUGGGGGAAACCCUGAUGGUGCGACGCCGCGUGGGGGAGUGAAGGUCUUCGGAUUGUAAACCCCUGUCAUGUGGGAGCAAAUUAAGAAGAUAGUACCACAAGAGGAAGAGACGGCUAACUCUGUGCCAGCAGCCGCGGUAAUACAGAGGUCUCAAGCGUUGUUCGGAAUCACUGGGCGUAAAGCGUGCGUAGGCUGUUUCGUAAGUCGUGUGUGAAAGGCGCGGGCCCAACCCGCGGACGGCACAUGAUACUGCGAGACUAGAGUAAUGGAGGGGGAACCGGAAUGCUCGGUGUAGCAGUGAAAUGCGUAGAUAUCGAGAGGAACACUCGUGGCGAAGGCGGGUUCCUGGACAUUAACUGACGCUGAGGCACGAAGGCCAGGGGAGCGAAAGGGAUUAGAUACCCUUGUAGUC